CUGGGCGUAAAGCGUGCGUAGGCGGUUACGUGUGUCGGGUGUGAAAGCCCUGGGCUCAACCCAGGAUGUGCAUUCAAAACUGCCUGGCUUGAAUCUCGGAGGGGGUCAGGGAAUUCCCGGUGUAGAGGUGAAAUUCGUAGAUAUCGGGAGGAACACCAGUGGCGAAGGCGCUGACCUGGACGAUGAUUGACGCUGAGGCGCGAAAGCGUGGGGAGCAAACAG
Molecule: ribosomal RNA, 222 nt
Filed under: uncultured bacterium
Lineage: Bacteria
Description: partial 16S ribosomal RNA
Rfam family: Bacterial small subunit ribosomal RNA
Source: RNAcentral